UCACCAGUUAAGGUCCCAAAAUUCAUGCUAAGUGGAAAAGGAUGUGGAGUUGCGCAGACAACUAGGACGUUGGCUCAGAAGCAGCCAUCAUUCAAAGAGUGCGUAAUAGCUCACUAGUCGAGUGACGCCGCGCCGAAAAUUUACCGGGGCUAAGCAUGAUACCGAAACUGUGGAUGUGCGUUUAUGCACGUGGUAGGAGAGCGUUCUAGCGGCGGUGAAGCAUGACCGAGAGGACAUGUGGAGCUUCUAGAAGUGAGAAUGCCGGUAUGAGUAACGAAAGACAGGUGAGAAUCCUGUCCGCCGCAAGACUAAGGUUUCCUGGGGCAGGCUCGUCCGCCCAGGGUAAGUCGGGACCUAAGGCGAGGCCGAGAGGCGUAGUCGAUGGACAACAGGUUGAAAUUCCUGUACUGCACCGAAUCGUUAUGAGCGAUGGAGGGACGCAGGAGGCUAGCAGCGCGUGGUGCUGGAUACCACGUUCAAGCGUCAAGUCUGAGAGUGAGUCAAAUGCUUGCUCUCAUAAGGACAAGGCGUGAUGAGGAGCGAAAUUAAAGUAGCGAAGGCUGCGACGUCACACUGCCGAGAAAAGCUUCUAGCCAGAGACGGUGCACCCGUACCGCAAACCGACACAGGUAGUCGAGGAGAGUAUCCUCAGGUGAGCGAGAGAACUCUCGUUAAGGAACUCGGCAAAAUGGCCCCGUAACUUCGGGAGAAGGGGCG
Molecule: ribosomal RNA, 717 nt
Filed under: Lactobacillus delbrueckii subsp. bulgaricus
Lineage: Bacteria; Bacillati; Bacillota; Bacilli; Lactobacillales; Lactobacillaceae
Description: partial 23S ribosomal RNA
Rfam family: Bacterial large subunit ribosomal RNA
Source: RNAcentral